CCCUUAGAUGUUCUGGGCCGCACGCGCGCUACACUGAUGCAUUCAACGAGUUUCUUCCUGGUCCGAGAGGAAUGGGUAACCUUUUGAAAGUGCAUCGUGAUAGGGAUAGACUAUUGCAAUUAUUGGUCUUCAACGAGGAAUUCCUAGUAGACGUAGUUCAUCAGACUGCAUCGAUUACGUCCCUGCCCUUUGUACACACCGCCCGUCGCUCCUACCGAUUGAAUGCUCAGGUGAGCCAUUCGGACUUUCAUCAUGCUGGUUUCCAGUUUUGUUGAAGGAAAGUCUUGCGAACCUUAUCAUUUAGAGGAAGGAGAAGUCGUAACA
This 324-nucleotide ribosomal RNA is filed under the name uncultured eukaryote. RNAcentral describes it as "partial 18S ribosomal RNA". It matches the Rfam family "Eukaryotic small subunit ribosomal RNA", at positions 1470 to 1796 of the family's 1831-position model. The record is from RNAcentral.